RNAcentral lists this long non-coding RNA (1922 nucleotides) under Danio rerio (zebrafish). Its description in RNAcentral is "si:dkey-161j23.9 (ENSDARG00000097061.2)". The record is from RNAcentral. Lineage: Eukaryota; Metazoa; Chordata; Actinopteri; Cypriniformes; Danionidae.
AAUGUCAAAACAAACCUUUUAUUUUGGCAGGGAUUGACCAUCUUUGCCCGACGCUAAUAUAUAUUUUACUGUGUUAUGAAUUAUCACUAUCAGUUAAAGCAGUUUAUACACUCACUCUUUUGGUUUGAUUGCCAGCGUCCUCCUCUAUCAUUAUGUCUGGGAUCCCAUCUUUGUCAAACUGUCCAAACGUCGGCUCACUAGAAAAACAUUGACAUCAGCAUCAGCAUCAGCACAUCAACAUCUCCCUGUGUUCUGAGUGUGUGUUCUGGAUUGUUUCUUGUACCUGAGCAGAGUGCUGGUGUUGGUGGUCCAGGCGGUCUUCAGCUUGUCGGUUUGCAGCAGUGAAACACUGGAGUCCGUCUGGAUGAGCAGUGAUGGAGGAUUACUGCCCUGAACAGCCAACACACGCUUCAGAAAACCAGACCUAGCAGAGGAUACAGGACUCGAAACCAGGCUUAGCCAGAGCUGCCAGACGUCCCAGACUGACCGCAUAAAGCCCAGAGUCUAUGAAUUCAGAGAGAUAUUAAAGCUCCCCUUUAAAUCCGCAACACACCUGUGAGUAACAGCAGAUAUGAAGCGCCGCUGGCCGUCUUGAAGUGCAGGUGAGCGAAUACACCGUUCACGUCAACAUUGACCCUGGAGCCGAGCUGAUCACCAGAUUUCCCAGAGAAAAACACCAGUUCAGUCUAAAGGAGGGAGGAGAUCACAGUGAAUCUUCAGCGUUAGUGAGCUUUAGAGUUGAGAUCCGGGACGCUGAUCAGCGGGAGAUUUCCAUGCAUCAAAGUCGAACGCGAAUGCUGCCACAUGAUCUGACCUGAUGGAGAGGCAACGGGAACAUUUGGAUGAAAUACUGUCGCGUUAUAUUCAGUGCUGGGUUUACCUGCAUUCAAACAUGUGUUACGGCUGGCAUCAGCAUCUCUGUAGAUGAAGAACACAUCUAACACCUUGUCUUCAUUGGCAUCCUCAACAGCCAGGAAAUCAAACGUGGCUAAAACAGAGAAAUAUUCAGUAAGGAAUGGAUGAAAGUUGCUAAUAAUUCUGACUUCAACCGUAUGAGCUCUGUACUGCUGUGUUUUUCCACAUCAGUCACCUGCGUCAGGUACUGUGCGGUUCCAUGUGGACACAUAUUGAGGCCGUACGGGGCAGGGGAGGAUGAAUGAAAAGGCGAAGAUGACUGCCAGACACAGGAAGAUGGAGAGCAGGAACGCUGCUGUUCUCCAGCCGGUCAGAUGAGACAGACCCAGCUUUCCUGCGCAGCUCUUCUCCUUAGUCACGCCCCCUUCUGCCUCUCCGUCCUUUAGUGGCUCCGCCUCCCCGCCACGCCCUGAUUCGUCUGUCAUCUCAGAAGAGUCUCCACACCACUGCAGCACACACAGGUAACAUAUAAGCACAUCAUACUCAACAUUCAUGAGUAUAACUUGCUUUUGUUUUGCUUGAUUUGAUCAUGUUUCAAGAUUUUACUUAAAAUGUAAAGCGCUUUAUAAAUAAAACGUAUAAUAACUAUGAGUAUAAUUGUAAACAUGUCAAUUGUAAGCUAAGGAUCUUGUCUUUUGCUUUGAAAUAUUUAUAGUUUUUUUUAAAGAUAGUGUAAUUAAAUAUAACAUGGACAAUUAUGCUGUGACACUUGUUGUUUCAAGUAAAAUUUAUUUUCUUUGCUUAAUUUUAUCAUGUUUCUUUUGGAGAUCUUUUGAGAUUUUACUAAAGUGUAAAGUGCUUUAUAAAUAAAAUGUGUUAUUAUUAUUAUUUUUCUUUAUUUAUUUAUUAUUAUUAUUAUUAAAAGGGAAAUGAUUGAAUGAUUUAUAAUUGUAAGUAUAAUUGUAAAACUGUCUAGCUUCAGCUUAUGGUUCUUGUGUUUGUUGCUGUGAAAUCUAAAUCUGAAAGAUAACAUAAACAAAUAUAUUUCUAAUAAAAUAUUUCAAAAU